Molecule: ribosomal RNA, 501 nt
Filed under: uncultured bacterium
Lineage: Bacteria
Description: partial 16S ribosomal RNA
Rfam family: Bacterial small subunit ribosomal RNA
Source: RNAcentral
ACGAACGCUGGCGGCGUGCCUAAUACAUGCAAGUCGAACGAACCGCGACUGAGUGCUUGCACUUGGUCAAGGUGAGUGGCGAACGGGUGAGUAACACGUGGGUAACCUACCUCAUAGUGGGGGAUAACAGUCGGAAACGACUGCUAAUACCGCAUAGGACAUAGGAUCACAUGAUCCAGUGAGGAAAGGUGGCGCAAGCUAUCGCUAAGAGAUGGACCCGCGGUGCAUUAGCUAGUUGGUAGGGUAAAGGCCUACCAAGGCGAUGAUGCAUAGCCGACCUGAGAGGGUGAUCGGCCACAUUGGGACUGAGACACGGCCCAAACUCCUACGGGAGGCAGCAGUAGGGAAUCUUCCGCAAUGGACGCAAGUCUGACGGAGCAACGCCGCGUGAGUGAAGAAGGUCUUCGGAUCGUAAAGCUCUGUUGUUAGAGAAGAACAGCGCAUAGAGUAACUGCUAUGCGUGUGACGGUAUCUAACCAGAAAGCCACGGCUAACUACGUG